UACAGAGGUCCCAAGCGUUGUUCGGAUUCACUGGGCGUAAAGGGUGCGUAGGUGGUCGGGUAAGUCUGAUGUGAAAUCCCGCAGCUCAACUGCGGAAUGGCAUUGGAUACUAUUUGGCUAGAGGGUUGGAGGGGGGACUGGAAUUCUCGGUGUAGCAGUGAAAUGCGUAGAUAUCGAGAGGAACACCAGUGGCGAAGGCGAAUCUCUGGACAGUUACUGACACUGAGGCACGAAGGCCAGGGGAGCAAACAGG
RNAcentral lists this ribosomal RNA (253 nucleotides) under uncultured bacterium. Its description in RNAcentral is "partial 16S ribosomal RNA". It matches the Rfam family "Bacterial small subunit ribosomal RNA", at positions 524 to 776 of the family's 1533-position model. The record is from RNAcentral.